RNAcentral lists this ribosomal RNA (440 nucleotides) under uncultured bacterium. RNAcentral describes it as "partial 16S ribosomal RNA". It matches the Rfam family "Bacterial small subunit ribosomal RNA", at positions 338 to 795 of the family's 1533-position model. The record is from RNAcentral.
CCUACGGGUGGCAGCAGUGGGGAAUAUUGCACAAUGGGGGAAACCCUGAUGCAGCAACGCCGCGUGGGUGAAGAAGUAUUUCGGUAUGUAAAGCCCUAUCAGCAGGGAAGAGAAUGACGGUACCUGACUAAGAAGCCCCGGCUAACUACGUGCCAGCAGCCGCGGUAAUACGUAGGGGGCAAGCGUUAUCCGGAUUUACUGGGUGUAAAGGGAGCGUAGACGGUUGUGCAAGUCUGAAGUGAAAGCCCGGGGCUCAACUCCGGGACUGCUUUUGAAACUGUGUUACUAGAUUGCAGGAGAGGUAAGUGGAAUUCCUAGUGUAGCGGUGAAAUGCGUAGAUAUUAGGAGGAACACCAGUGGCGAAGGCGGCUUACUGGACUGUAAAUGACGCUGAGGCUCGAAAGCGUGGGGAGCAAACAGGAUUAGAUACCCGUGUAGUC